This 126-nucleotide small nucleolar RNA is filed under the name Tupaia belangeri (northern tree shrew). RNAcentral describes it as "Small nucleolar RNA ACA59 (ENSTBEG00000020501.1)". The record is from RNAcentral. Lineage: Eukaryota; Metazoa; Chordata; Mammalia; Scandentia; Tupaiidae.
ACCCAAGAUCUGCCACUUUUUAGUUGUGUGACCUUGGGCAUGUUACUUAACCUCUCUGUGCCUCUGUUUCCUCAUCAGCAAAAUGAGGAUGUUAUUAUGUAUCUAAUAGAGUUGUGAAAACUAGAG